GCCGGGCAUUGUGGCGAGCACCUGUGGUCCCAGCUACUUGGGAGGCUGAAGCAGGAGACUUGCCUGAGCCCAGGAGUUGGAGGCUGCUGUGAGCUGUGAUGCCACGGCACUCCACCCAGGGGGACAGCUUGAGACUGUCUCAAAAAAAAGAAGAAAGUCUCCAUUGGUGCUAAUACAUCUUUUUUUUUUUUUGAGACAGAGCCUCAAGCUGUUCCCCUGGGUAGAGUGCCAUGGCAUUACAGCUCACAGCAACCUCCAACUCCUGGGCUCAAGCGAGUCUCCUGCCUCAG
Non-coding RNA from Otolemur garnettii (small-eared galago), 290 nucleotides. Lineage: Eukaryota; Metazoa; Chordata; Mammalia; Primates; Galagidae. The record is from Rfam.